AUCGCUUACCGGCCUUUUGGCUAAGAUCAAGAGUAGUAUCUGUUCUUGUUAGUUUAAUAUCUGAUAAGUCCUCUAUCCGAGGACAACAUAUUAAAUGGAUUUUUGGAGCAGGGAGAUGGAAUAGGAACUUGCUCCGUCCACUCCGCGCAUUGACCCGGUAUUGCAGUACCUCCGGGAACGGUGCGCACACA
Small nuclear RNA from Myotis daubentonii (Daubenton's bat), 191 nucleotides. RefSeq annotates it as U2 spliceosomal RNA. The record is from RefSeq and is a predicted model, not a curated record. NCBI's taxonomy places the organism in Eukaryota, Metazoa, Chordata, Mammalia, Chiroptera, Vespertilionidae.